Long non-coding RNA from Oncorhynchus keta (chum salmon), 526 nucleotides. RefSeq lists it as uncharacterized. The transcript is spliced from 4 exons. The record is from RefSeq and is a predicted model, not a curated record. NCBI's taxonomy places the organism in Eukaryota, Metazoa, Chordata, Actinopteri, Salmoniformes, Salmonidae.
AGUGUGUACCUAUAACCAGGAAGUAAACUAGGUGAAUAAGGACAGGAUUCAGUGUGUGCUCAUCACGCCCCCCCUGGUCUCUCACCUGUUGAGUGUGUACCUAUAACCAGGAAGUAAACUAGGUGAGUAAGGACAGGAUUCAGUGUGUGCUCAUCACGCCCCCCCUGGUCUCUCACCUGUUGAGUGUGUACCUAUAACCAGGAAGUAAACUAGGUGAGUAAGGACAGGAUUCAGUGUGUGCUCAUCACGCCCCCCCUGGUCUCUCACCUGUUGAGUGUGUACCUAUAACCAGGAAGUAAACUAGGUGAAUAAGGACAGGAUUCAGUGUGUGCUCAUCACGCCCCCCCCUGGUCUCUCACCUGUUGAGUGUGUACCUAUAACCAGGAAGUAAACUAGGUGAGUAAGGACAGGAUUCAGUGUGUGCUCAUCACGCCCCCCCUGGUCUCUCACCUGUUGAGUGUGUACCUAUAACCAGGAAGUAAACUAGGUGAAUAAGGACAGGAUUCAGUGUGUGCUCAUCACGCCC